RNAcentral lists this ribosomal RNA (919 nucleotides) under uncultured bacterium. RNAcentral describes it as "bacterial SSU rRNA". It matches the Rfam family "Archaeal small subunit ribosomal RNA", at positions 1 to 922 of the family's 1478-position model. The record is from RNAcentral.
UUUCCGGUUGAUCCUGCCAGAGGUCACUGCUAUCGGUGUUCGACUAAGCCAUGCGAGUCAAAUGUUCUUCGUGAACAUGGCGUACUGCUCAGUAACACGUGGAUAACCUGCCCUUAGGUCUGGCAUAACCCCGGGAAACUGGGGAUAAUUCCGGAUAGAUCAUCGAUGCUGGAACGCGCUUUGAUCCAAAGCUAUUGUGCCUAAGGAUGGGUCUGCGGUCUAUCAGGUUGUAGUGGGUGUAAUGUACCUACUAGCCUACGACGGAUACGGGUUGUGGGAGCAAGAGCCCGGAGAUGGAUUCUGAGACAUGAAUCCAGGCCCUACGGGGCGCAGCAGGCGCGAAAACUUUACAAUGCGGGGAACCGCGAUAAGGGGACACCGAGUGCCAGCAUCCUAUGUUGGCUGUCCAUAUGUCUAAAUCACAUGUGUUAGCAAGGGCCGGGCAAGACCGGUGCCAGCCGCCGCGGUAACACCGGCGGCCCGAGUGGUGGCCACUAUUAUUGGGUCUAAAGGGUCCGUAGCCGGUUUGGUCAGUCUUCCGGGAAAUCUGACGGCUCAACCGUUAGGCUUUCGGGGGAUACUACCAGGCUUGGGACCGGGAGAGGUAAGAGGUACUACGGGGGUAGGAGUGAAAUCUUGUAAUCCCUGUGGGACCACCAGUGGCGAAGGCGUCUUACCAGAACGGGUCCGACGGUGAGGGACGAAAGCUGGGGGCACGAACCGGAUUAGAUACCCGGGUAGUCCCAGCUGUAAACUAUGCUCGCUAGGUGUCAGGGACGGUGCGGCUGUUUCUGGUGCCGCAGGGAAGCCGUGAAGCGAGCCACCUGGGAAGUACGGUCGCAAGGCUGAAACUUAAAGGAAUUGGCGGGGGAGCACUACAACGGGUGGAGCCUGCGGUUUAAUUGGAUUCAACGCCGGG